RNAcentral lists this ribosomal RNA (497 nucleotides) under uncultured bacterium. RNAcentral's name for it is "partial 16S ribosomal RNA". It matches the Rfam family "Bacterial small subunit ribosomal RNA", at positions 28 to 507 of the family's 1533-position model. The record is from RNAcentral.
GAUGAACGCUGGCGGCGUGCCUAAUACAUGCAAGUCGAGCGAACGGACGAGAAGCUUGCUUCUCUGAUGUUAGCGGCGGACGGGUGAGUAACACGUGGAUAACCUACUUAUAAGACUGGGAUAACUUCGGGAAACCGGAGCUAAUACUGGAUAAUAUUUUGAACCGCAUGGUUCAAAAGUGAAAGACGGUCUUGCUGUCACUUAUAGAUGGAGCCGCGCUGCAUUAGCUAGUUGGUAAGGUAACGGCUUACCAAGGCAACGAUGCAUAGCCGACCUGAGAGGGUGAUCGGCCGCACUGGAACUGAGACACGGUCCAGACUCCUACGGGAGGCAGCAGUAGGGAAUCUUCCGCAAUGGGCGAAAGCCUGACGGAGCAACGCCGCGUGAGUGAUGAAGGUCUUCGGAUCGUAAAACUCUGUUAUUAGGGAAGAACAUAUGUGUAAGUAACUGUGCACAUCUUGACGGUACCUAAUCAGAAAGCCACGGCUAACUACGUG